UGUGGAGCUCAGUGGCAAUAGCUCUCUGCUUCCAUAUGUGAGGUCCUGGGUUCAAUCCCCAGCAUCACAA
This 70-nucleotide transfer RNA is filed under the name Marmota monax (woodchuck). Its description in RNAcentral is "tRNA.Gly". Lineage: Eukaryota; Metazoa; Chordata; Mammalia; Rodentia; Sciuridae. The record is from RNAcentral.